This 443-nucleotide ribosomal RNA is filed under the name uncultured bacterium. Its description in RNAcentral is "partial 16S ribosomal RNA". It matches the Rfam family "Bacterial small subunit ribosomal RNA", at positions 338 to 795 of the family's 1533-position model. The record is from RNAcentral.
CCUACGGGAGGCAGCAGUGGGGAAUAUUGGGCAAUGGGCGCAAGCCUGACCCAGCAACGCCGCGUGAGGGAAGAAGGCUUUCGGGUUGUAAACUUCUUUUCUCAGGGACGAAGAAAGUGACGGUACCUGAGGAAUAAGCCACGGCUAACUACGUGCCAGCAGCCGCGGUAAUACGUAGGUGGCAAGCGUUAUCCGGAUUUAUUGGGUGUAAAGGGCGUGUAGGCGGGAAAGCAAGUCAGAUGUGAAAACUCAGGGCUCAACCCUGAGCCUGCAUUUGAAACUGGUAUUCUUGAGUGCUGGGGAGGCAAUCGGAAUGCCGUGUGUAGCGGUGAAAUGCGUAGAUAUACGGAGGAACACCAGUGGCGAAGGCGGAUUGCUGGACAGUAACUGACGCUGAGGCGCGAAAGCGUGGGGAGCAAACAGGAUUAGAUACCCUGGUAGUC